GGUUAACUCAGCCCGGAGUUUAUGCUGCCAGGCACCGCUCCGCAGACCAGCCCUGAGUUUGUCCUCACAGGCAUACAGCGGUGCAUUUACUCAAGUACUGUACUUAAAGGAUGUGAGGAGUCCCUUUGAACUCCUGGAUCAGCAGGUGUCGCGCUCCUUUGGGAAUCUCCAGGAUCUUAAGACACCACAUCGGUCCUCCUGCUGGUCUGAAGCAAUCUGUCCAUCGCAACCUACAUGCUGCAGGAGGGGAGAGGGAACAAUGAGAGAGGAAAAGAAACAAGGAGAGAGGAGAGAAGCAGAUCUUAGUUGGAAGAUUAGUGGCUCUCUUUGGGACAGACACAGAUACAGUGUAUCUCCACCAUGGGUCCACCACAAAGAGCAGGCUUUCAACUUCAGUUAUCAGACAAAAUAAAGCUGAAAAUCUUCUUUUAUCUUCUUUUUUUUUAAAGUCUGUUUCCAGUUUGUUCAUAAGUUUAAAAAAUGCAUUUGAAACCUUUCAGAUGUUUUGACAUUUUCAAUAAGUGACAGGUCUGGACUUCAGGC
This is a long non-coding RNA of Larimichthys crocea (large yellow croaker), 543 nucleotides long. RefSeq lists it as uncharacterized. Lineage: Eukaryota; Metazoa; Chordata; Actinopteri; Sciaenidae. The record is from RefSeq and is a predicted model, not a curated record. The transcript is spliced from 3 exons.